Molecule: ribosomal RNA, 301 nt
Filed under: uncultured bacterium
Lineage: Bacteria
Description: partial 16S ribosomal RNA
Rfam family: Bacterial small subunit ribosomal RNA
Source: RNAcentral
CAGUAGCCGCGGUAAUACGAAGGGGGCUAGCGUUGCUCGGAAUUACUGGGCGUAAAGGGAGCGUAGGCGGAUCGUUUAGUCAGGGGUGAAAUCCCGGGGCUCAACCUCGGAACUGCCUUUGAUACUGGCGAUCUUGAGUAUGGGAGAGGUGUGUGGAACUCCGAGUGUAGAGGUGAAAUUCGUAGAUAUUCGGAAGAACACCAGUGGCGAAGGCGACACACUGGCCCAUUACUGACGCUGAGGCUCGAAAGCGUGGGGAGCAAACAGGAUUAGAUACCCCAGUAGUCCCUGUCUCUUAUAC